This 253-nucleotide ribosomal RNA is filed under the name uncultured bacterium. RNAcentral's name for it is "partial 16S ribosomal RNA". It matches the Rfam family "Bacterial small subunit ribosomal RNA", at positions 524 to 776 of the family's 1533-position model. The record is from RNAcentral.
UACGUAGGGGGCAAGCGUUGUCCGGAUUUAUUGGGCGUAAAGAGCGUGUAGGCGGCCAGGUAGGUCUGCUGUGAAAACUCGAGGCUUAACCUCGAGCUGUCGGCGGAAACCAUCUGGCUAGAGUCCGGAAGAGGAGAAUGGAAUUCCCGGUGUAGCGGUGAAAUGCGUAGAUAUCGUAAGGAAGACCAGUGGCGAAGGCGAAUCUCUGGACAGUUACUGACACUGAGGCUCGAAGGCCAGGGGAGCAAACGGG